CACGUGUCUAUUCCCACGAUGGAUGUAAUCACUACAUACCGCAAAUACAUACUAAUAAAAAACUUUCAAAGAAAAGUAAACACAAAAUAAAACAAAAUUUAUUUUGAGCACACACACAAAAAAAUCCAAUGUGGCCGUGGGGUGGCGCCCUUGCCAGUGGGGUGGGGAUGGGGGCACAGAUCUGCACCCAAGGAGAAGGUCCGCUGAGGGCUGAGGCAGGAGACACCCUGGAGAGGCCCAGCAGGCAGACCCAGGUGCUCAGCCCGGGCGGUUCCCUAGCCAGAGCCGCAGACGCCGACCCGGAGGCGGCAGAGCCCUAAGCACCUGGAAAGCUGUCAGCCAGACCGUCACCGGGGGAGACAGCACGGUCCUGCAACACGACCUCGGGUCCCGGGAUACGACUCAGAGUGGGGCAGGAUUUUUCCAAGCAAGGAACUGCAAGGCCCCUGCCCGCUCCCGAAACAGCGGUGAAGGGUGAGGGGGACCCCUGAAAGGCUGCACGCCCGCGGGACGCAGAGCGGCCUCGUCCUGAGCGGGCCCGGAGCUCGAGGCCAGCACGCGCGGGCGCAGCCUGGCGCUCUGGGCCCCGCGCGGAAACCGAAGAGGAAAAGAAAAAGUUGUGCAAAUGUCCUGCAUGUGAAUCUACACAGAAAGCCAGAGAGCACUGGACGAGGGAGCCCCCCGGGAGACCCGGCGCGCCCCGUACCCUCUGUGCGUGGGGUUGGCUUGCCCGUAACGUACUUCGAGCUGUCGGAAAGCGAGGCCGCGGACGUGACUUCCGGCUUCCAGGCCGGCCCGCGCGGAAUCGGGGACGCGAGCGAGCACCGCGGGAAGGCUGGCCGCCGAACUGCGCAGGCGCAGGGGCCCGGCUGCACCUCCGCGGAGCCGCCACGCGGGGGCAGCCGUGAGCCACGGGAGGCCCGAGCGCCCCGAGAACCGGGCCGGUACAGGCCGGCUGCGAGCGCCGAGGCAGCGGAGAGGACGACUCGCGCGUCUCCAGCUGGACGUGGCGAACUCUGGCUCGCAAAAGCUAACUUUCGCCCUAAAUGGGUGAUUUUUCCCUAAAAGGGACAAAGCCCACGCCCUGGUUCCACUGGGGCUCGAACCCAGGACCUUCUGCGUGUAAAGCAGACGUGAUAACCGCUACACUAUGGAACCGCGCGCGGAAAGUGGACCGGAAUCUGGUCAUUUAACGGGCGCCCGGUGACGCCCUGCGCGGGUCGGACGCGGGGUGCAAUCGCAGGCGGACGCCUCGGGCAGAGCACCCGGCUGCACCUCCAUAUCCAGGACAAAACCCAGCACCCCUAGCUCGCAAAGGAGCCCCGAGCACCCUCAAAAUACCAGCGGGGCCGCCCGUGGUUCCACUGGGGCUCGAACCCAGGACCUUCUGCGUGUAAAGCAGACGUGAUAACCGCUACACUAUGGAACCGCGCGGUGGCCGGCCGCCUCCGGGCGUAAUCAACCCCGCGCGCAGCCCUCGGCCUGCGCCCGCCGGGACCGAGCCGCCCGUGCCCGGCUUCCCCCGCCGCUGCCGCUCAUGCUCCUGCUCCUCGCCCGCCCGGCGCGGCUCCCGGGGCGAGAACGCGCGCCCGCCACGGAGCUGUAGGCGGCUCGGGGCAACCUCCAAGCAUCUGGCUCUGUGGCGCAAUGGAUAGCGCAUUGGACUUCUAGACAAACAAAGACAUUCAAAGGUUGUGGGUUCGAGUCCCACCAGAGUCGCUUUGUUUUGAUGAAGUCGGAUAAAGAAAAUUAAAGUGACAGAAGCCUUUAAUCCGCACUCGGCCGCGCCCUGGUUGGGGACAAAGGCGGUCGCUCCGGCGCGUCGGGCCCCCUCCCGAGGCUCCUCCAUCGCUUUCCCGGGGCUCCGGUUUCUGGGUACUGAACCCAGAGAUCCACGAGAUGCGAUCGAGGAGACGCGGGCUGAGCGUGGCUUUGCUCGUUCUGUUUCCAUGCAACGCUCGCGAUCCGAAUCCAUCCCGAGCUGUUCGGAAACUUCAGUCCGUGUUGCCCGAGUCGCCCGGAAGGAAAACGCCAUCCGGCAGGGUGCCGGGGUGGCCGAAUGGUUAGAGCGUCGGACUUAGGGCUCCGUGGUCUCUGGGGUGCGCGGGUUCGAACCCCACUUCUGGCGGCUCUGUGUUCGCCCUUCGGCGUUCCCUGUUGGGACUUUAGGUGCGCAGACGCCGGGAUCUGGGUCUGAAUCUGAACCCCAGACAGUUCCUUUUCGCCAGAGCAGAGAAUGCGGGACGACUUGAGAAUCCACGGCUGGGAAGGAGCGAAGGCAGCGUCCACCGAAAGCAGACCCGAUCCUCUCCACCGAUGUUGCUGCGCCGCCGCGCAAAGGCCGAGGGGCGGGAGGAGGAGCCGGCCGGCCUGCGGGCGGACGCGCGGGAGGACUGAGGAGGGGCCGGCGCUGCGAGAGGCUUCGGGUGGCCCCGCGGGCCGGCGCGGAGGAACCAAGGCGGCGCCGGGACCACCGGGCUCGGUCCUCAGAACCUUGCAGCACUGAGGACGUGGGUGCUUUGCACGUUUCUCCGCUGAACGCUCAGAAAUCCCAGCCUGAGAAGCUCCGAUCUGAGUGGAACCGGGGAAUCCCAAAGCGCGGGAUAACCUGACAGAUAGCGUGUCCCGCCUGCCUCCGGAGAAGGCGGGGCAAAGCGCUUAAGAACCCGGGGGCCGGGGGGUCGCGGUGGAUCCGGCCCCUCGCCUCGCAGGAUCACAGCCCUUCCGUGGCGCCUUUGCCAGACAGGCGGAGGGCGGUACCGGCCCGCAGGGCCCGGGGAGCUCAGUCGAUAGAGCAUCAAACUUUUAAUCUGAGAGUCCAGGGUUCGAGUCCCUGUUUGGGCGAAGCCUAUUUUAAAAUCCACACUCGCUUUUCCGGAGUCCCGAGCGAGCCCCGGGUGUUGGGGGAAACCCGGCUGGGCCCAGGCUGGGAGUUCAGAGAUGGGGCGAGACGCAGCCGGCUUUGCAGAUUGCUUUGUAUCAGUUUUCCCUAUGAACUGACAUGCAGUACUUUUCUGUUCAAAAAACCAAUGCCCCGUGGCCUGUUGUCAGGAUGUGCUGCUUCGCGUCCGCAAGUAUUAAACCACGGAGCUCAGGAGAAGCCAGGGCUAAGGCCCUGGCCGCCUGUGAAUCCGGGGAAAGACCCAUGUUGGGGGCCGGCUUCGCGUCUGUCGCUGCGGGGCACCGGCAACCUGCCGAGACCUGGGACCGAACCUAGGACCUUUUAAUCUUCAGUCUGACGCUCUCCCAACUGAGCUAUUUCGGCAGGGACGAACGCUUCCUUGCACGUGCCUAGGGGAAUUUGAAACAGAAAGAAUUCGUUUCCCUUCUCUCCAACUUUUCCUCCAAAUGUUGCCUCCCGGAGCGCCCUGCUUUGAGCUGUGAGGCUGGAGAACAGCGGGGAGCAAGGAGGCCCGGCCUGGCCGCCCUUCACCGCCCCAGGCCGGCGGUGCCCAACCCCGCCCUGCUGCAGCAGCGGCCGGGCUCCGCUCCAAAGGCCGCGCAGUGCCGCCGAACGGAGAGCGCCUCUCGUCCGCGCCCGGACAGGCCGGCCGCAAGGUCGGGGCUGAGACAGAGCGACCACCACGGCUGGAGGCCUGGAGGAGGAGGAGGAGGAGGACCGGGUAGGGGCGCUCGGGCGCACUCCGGCUCUGCCUCUCGUCCCGGAGCCCCGACUUGGCCCCCGCUGUCACCCGCAGACGUGCGCGGCGCCCCCAGGCCUCGGCGCGGCCGUGCGGACAUCGGCCCCGGGGCAAGGUGGCCACCGAGGAUCCGAACACGGCUUUCUCUAAAUGCCGCCGACACAGGUACCCCCAACACCGGUUCUCAUGGUGCAAAAAUAACUUAAAAAGCAGCUGCACCACGAACAGGGACUCGAACCCUGGACCCUCAGAUUAAAAGUCUGAUGCUCUACCGACUGAGCUACCCGGGCUCACAACGUGUUCUUCUGCUCCAGUGCCUUAAGAGUGCUCCGCUUCUCUGCGAACCUGCAGACGCCUUCCCGGUGGAUUCUGGACCCCGCCCCGCCCGCGAUCCCCUCGGUUCCGAAGCCGCGAGCCGCGCAGAGGGACUACACGCAGCCAGCGAGGGGAGGCACCCAUCUGGGCCGGGCUGCGGAUGCAGAUCUGGACGCUGAGACCCCGCCCCGAAAGAUGAGGCUGCGCCCCGCCCGGCCGCGAGCAGGAGGAGCCAAGGGUCCCAGCCGCAGCGCACGGCCAAGGCCGGGACCCGAGGGCAGCCACGUCCCAGUCCGCAAGCCGAGAAACGGACAAGGAGUGAAGCGAUCCCGGUCACGCCCACCGAAGGGUACGCCCUCGGCCACACCCCACCCACGGCCGGCCUCUCGGCCUCCCUCGCCCCGCCCAUAGCCGGCCCCGCGCACGCGCAGCUGGGGCCUCGGUCCGCCCCAGGACGCACCCGGACACCUCCGGCUUUCGGGCCUGUGCUCUUCCCGGGCUAGCUGGAUGUCACCUCCCUUUCUGUUCCCUUGCCCUCCUUCCUCCCAGCACCUGACUCUCGUAAUAAAAGAAUAGAAAGAGAAAAACAAGUGUAUGAACGUGUGUCUCAUGUACAGAAAGGGAGAUGCCAGGAAAUGAGUCAUUCUUAAAGACGCGGAGGGCUUGGAACUCCAGUUUGUACGGCAUCGUCAGAAAACAAAAUUUGGGGCGCGAUGACGACGCCAGGAAAACCUCGGGUUUCCAGGGACAGCCAGAUGACUCGGCCCGGGACCUGCGGCCUCCGGCAGCCCCAGCACGCCUCGCUGCGACUCCGCUCCGCGCUGAGAACGGCUAGGGCUUCGAGGGCAAAGGCCCAGGUUUCCAGGGGCGACUCCCCCCGUGAGGCCGAGGUGGACGAUCUCGAGGCUGAGGGCAGCAGUGCAGUCUCGCUCCCCCCUUCCUGGGUAAAACACGCUAUCCGGCUUCCCCAGAAACAGGACCAGUGAGGUACAGGUAGCCUAUUCGGUGGGACUCCCGGGAAACAGAAACCAUAGCCUCCUCGAGUCACCUGGAACAGAGGAGAUGGCAUGGCACAGCACCUGGGGCCUCUCGCCCUCAGAAUUGCGUGGAUGGGAAUUCGGUGUGCAGCGCUGGAAAACUGGCACCGGAGUACAUCUUACCCUGGGCUAGGUACGUGGAUCUAAUCGUCCACUGGUCACUUGUCUACUUGUGCAUGAUGUGGGCGAGACAGUUUGUUCUUACUCAUAUUAGAGAUAGAACGGCAUAGUAACUGUGAGGGAGGCCCAGAACACACAUGCACACACACACCAGUCAUCUGAGUGAUUUUACUCUGCCCUUUCUCUGUCUUCUAGUCUCAGUGUUCACACAAAUGGAGCUACUGCAUAUAAAAACCC
Long non-coding RNA from Heterocephalus glaber (naked mole-rat), 5350 nucleotides. NCBI's taxonomy places the organism in Eukaryota, Metazoa, Chordata, Mammalia, Rodentia, Bathyergidae. The record is from Ensembl.